CUUCUGUAGCACCAAUGUCCAUGAACAAGUAGCAAGCGCUCCAAAAAUCGGAAUUGUGCAAUUGCAAUAUCGCUUGACAUGACUGCCUGAGAUUUUGGGAAGUCAACAAAAAGGAGAAUUGAGAAUCCAUUCCGGGAAAGUGACCAGCAAACUCGAUGCACUGAUGAAGCUUUUGCUUAGAAGUUAGAACUUACCUGCAUUCCUUCAACCCCACUGAUACCAACACCAAUAUCUGCUU
Molecule: long non-coding RNA, 238 nt
Filed under: Populus trichocarpa (black cottonwood)
Lineage: Eukaryota; Viridiplantae; Streptophyta; Magnoliopsida; Malpighiales; Salicaceae
Description: long non-coding RNA (PTRI_LNC002889)
Source: RNAcentral